RNAcentral lists this ribosomal RNA (256 nucleotides) under uncultured bacterium. RNAcentral describes it as "partial 16S ribosomal RNA". It matches the Rfam family "Bacterial small subunit ribosomal RNA", at positions 524 to 776 of the family's 1533-position model. The record is from RNAcentral.
UACGGAGGGUGCAAGCGUUAUCCGGAUUUACUGGGUUUAAAGGGUGCGUAGAUGGCAUAAUAAGUUAUUAGUGGGAAAUCGAGGCUCAACCUCGUGGAAGCUAGUAAUACUGUUUUGCUUGAGUACAGAAGAGGUUAACGGAACUCCAUGUGGAGCGGUAAAAUGCGUAGAUAUAUGGAAGAACACCAAUAACGGCGAAGGCAGUUAACUAUUCUGUUACUGACAUUGAGGCACGAAAGCGUGGGGAGCAAAACGG